GGGCUUGUGGUCUAGUGGUAUGAUUCUUCCUUAGCACGGUUGAGGCGUAUAACAUCUCAUCGUACACUUGGAAGAGGUCCGGGGUUCAAUUCCCCGCGAGUCCA
Molecule: transfer RNA, 104 nt
Filed under: Biscogniauxia mediterranea
Lineage: Eukaryota; Fungi; Ascomycota; Sordariomycetes; Xylariales; Xylariaceae
Description: tRNA-Ala
Rfam family: tRNA
About the family: Transfer RNA (tRNA) molecules are approximately 80 nucleotides in length. Their secondary structure includes four short double-helical elements and three loops (D, anti-codon, and T loops).
Source: RNAcentral